This 22-nucleotide microRNA is filed under the name Eptesicus fuscus (big brown bat). RNAcentral's name for it is "efu-miR-9209d". Lineage: Eukaryota; Metazoa; Chordata; Mammalia; Chiroptera; Vespertilionidae. The record is from miRBase by way of RNAcentral.
CAGCCGUGAUUUGCCGCUCUGU